GCAUUUAUUUGAGCAAUACAUGCAAUAAAAUUGGCUCAAUACAUAGAAUAUUAGCAUGUCUCCUGGACAGGGAUGCCAAGCAACUUUGUGAAAUGUUACACAUUAAA
This is a small nuclear RNA of Sorex araneus (European shrew), 107 nucleotides long. The record is from RefSeq and is a predicted model, not a curated record. NCBI's taxonomy places the organism in Eukaryota, Metazoa, Chordata, Mammalia, Eulipotyphla, Soricidae.